AAAACAAGCGGUUCGCACGUCUAAAACCACCCAGGGAACAGAGGGGUUUCCAGAAAAUAUGAGCAGAGGCCACUGCACGCUUCCACCCACCCCAAGCACCUCCCGGCGACCUCCCUGGAAGAAUACAAUAAUCCCAAGAGGCCCUGCAGGGCAUGGAGAAACUGGAAUCAGAAGGGAGAAGAGCUUUGAGUAUGCCUGAAGCCUGUGAUGCCAAGACUGUUCUCUCUGGAAGUGCCAACCUGUGUAAUAGCCAAGAGGUCCCACUGGCUCCCCUCCCCUCCCAGUGAAUUCUGCAGAGAUUAAAUAUACUGUGGGAAGGAUCUGUGUCUACAGUGUUACAUACGUGCAGGUAAGUUUUAUUUUAAAUAAACUU
This 373-nucleotide non-coding RNA is filed under the name Pan troglodytes (chimpanzee). Lineage: Eukaryota; Metazoa; Chordata; Mammalia; Primates; Hominidae. The record is from RNAcentral.